UGGGGAAUAUUGCACAAUGGGCGCAAGCCUGAUGCAGCCAUGCCGCGUGUAUGAAGAAGGCCUUCGGGUUGUAAAGUACUUUCAGUCGGGAGGAAGGUGUCAAGGUUAAUAACCUUGGCAAUUGACGUUACCGACAGAAGAAGCACCGGCUAACUCCGUGCCAGCAGCCGCGGUAAUACGGAGGGUGCAAGCGUUAAUCGGAAUUACUGGGCGUAAAGCGCACGCAGGCGGUUGAUUGAGUCAGAUGUGAAAUCCCCGGGCUCAACCUGGGAACUGCAUCUGAUACUGGCAAGCUUGAGUCUUGUAGAGGGGGGUAGAAUUCCAGGUGUAGCGGUGAAAUGCGUAGAGAUCUGGAGGAAUACCGGUGGCGAAGGCGGCCCCCUGGACAAAGACUGACGCUCAGGUGCGAAAGCGUGGGGAGCAAACAGG
Molecule: ribosomal RNA, 429 nt
Filed under: Chloroflexota bacterium
Lineage: Bacteria; Bacillati; Chloroflexota
Description: Chloroflexi bacterium partial 16S ribosomal RNA
Rfam family: Bacterial small subunit ribosomal RNA
Source: RNAcentral